CCUUCUAUUUCUAUCUCCACCCCUCCGUCAAGUGUCAAUUCUGCUCCACCGCAAUCAAUCAGUUAUUUGUCAGUCGCUGUCAAUCCGCCGCUUGAUUUAUGUCAGCUAUUGUGGCUGAUUACAUGCCAGUGUGACUGCGGGGAGAGAACAAAUGGGGGAGAGAGAGAGAGACCUUCUGCGAGAGGGAGAGAGAGAGAGAGAGACAGAGAGGGAGAGAAAGGAAAAAGAGGAAUGGUGCUGUCAGGGCCCAACCCCGAGAAAGAGAAGUUGGAAAAUGCCUUGAACUAUUCACCGCGGAAAUGGCUAAUCAGUAUUGAGGCUGCGGGGCAAUCGGGCAGCUUUUCAAUGCGGUUUCCCUUUCAUCUCAAUCGGGAUGGAGGCGCUCAAUUAAAAGCCUAUCAGUUUGUCAACUCGGAGAGCAAGAAAACCUGGAGUGGACGGUCAAGGGGGCAGAAAAGGUCCUUCCCUGGAAAUAAGAAAUCAACAAAUACAGCGGGGGGAAGAAGUUUUCCUAGAAUUAAAAAAAAUAUAGACGGUAUAACUAAAAACAGGCAGUGUCUUGGAGUCCAUAAUCUGCCGCAAAAUACAAUUUGGGAAGCAGGUUAUGGUGAAUAAGAUAAAACCAAACAGACGUUUUAUCCACAUGGGCAAAAUAAGCAGAGCGUAAGGAAACAAUUUACAAAUAAAUCUAAUAAUGCACAAAGAGUAAAAACACACUUAUCCCAACAAAGGGUAUGAAAAAAUAGAUUGAGCCCAUAUAUGUAUAUAGGCCUGUUCUGGUACACCGUGUAUGAACAAAUAAAAACGAGCAAUGCUCCUCUGUCUUAUGAAGACAUAACUCAUAAUUCUGAGAUAAUUCAAAUGAACAAAAAUGCUCCGGUGGUUCUUUUCAAUUUCACGUGAGAGUUAGAGAUGAGGGAAGGAGAA
Pleuronectes platessa (European plaice) is the source of this 927-nucleotide long non-coding RNA. RefSeq lists it as uncharacterized. NCBI's taxonomy places the organism in Eukaryota, Metazoa, Chordata, Actinopteri, Pleuronectiformes, Pleuronectidae. The record is from RefSeq and is a predicted model, not a curated record. The transcript is spliced from 3 exons.